Molecule: ribosomal RNA, 510 nt
Filed under: uncultured bacterium
Lineage: Bacteria
Description: partial 16S ribosomal RNA
Rfam family: Bacterial small subunit ribosomal RNA
Source: RNAcentral
GACGAACGCUGGCGGCGUGCUUAACACAUGCAAGUCGAACGAAGAGCGAUGGAAGCUUGCUUCUCUCAAUCUUAGUGGCGCACGGGUGAGUAACGCGUAAUCAACCUGCCCUUCAGAGGGGGACAACAGUUGGAAACGACUGCUAAUACCGCAUACGAUCUAACCUCGGCAUCGAGGAUAGAUGAAAGGUGGCCUCUACAUGUAAGCUAUCACUGAAGGAGGGGAUUGCGUCUGAUUAGCUAGUUGGAGGGGUAACGGCCCACCAAGGCGAUGAUCAGUAGCCGGUCUGAGAGGAUGAACGGCCACAUUGGGACUGAGACACGGCCCAGACUCCUACGGGAGGCAGCAGUGGGGAAUCUUCCGCAAUGGACGAAAGUCUGACGGAGCAACGCCGCGUGAGGGAUGACGGCCUUCGGGUUGUAAAGCUCUGUUAAUCGGGACGAAAGGCCUUCUUGCGAAUAGUGAGAAGGAUUGACGGUACCGGAAUAGAAAGCCACGGCUAACUACGUG